CUAACCCAUUGCCCCUUAUCACAGGCCUCAAGGUAGUCCAUACAACCAGUGAAAGAUAAUGAAGCACAAGAAAAAAAGAACUAAUCCAGAGAACCUGAUAUUGAAGAACAAGACAAAGAAAGUACAACCUCUAUUUAUUUUUUUUGACGAAGAGAAAGUACAACCUCUAUUUUCAGUAUUUUCAAGGUGUCUUUAAUUUCCAAGAGGAAACAUUAUUGG
Molecule: unclassified non-coding RNA, 219 nt
Filed under: Hevea brasiliensis (rubber tree)
Lineage: Eukaryota; Viridiplantae; Streptophyta; Magnoliopsida; Malpighiales; Euphorbiaceae
Source: RNAcentral